UGGAUCCAGACUUUGAUCCUGGCUCAGGAUGAACGCUAGCUACAGGCCUAACACAUGCAAGUCGAGGGGAAACGGCAGCUUAGCUUGCUAAGCUGGACGUCGACCGGCGCACGGGUGAGUAACGCGUAUCCAACCUGCCCCACGGUGAGGGAUAACCCGCGGAAACGCGGCCUAAUACCUCAUGGCCUCCGAGUUUGCCAUCAACCUUGGAGUAAAGAUUCAUUGCCGUGGGAUGGGGAUGCGUCUGAUUAGCUUGUUGGCGGGGCAACGGCCCACCAAGGCAACGAUCAGUAGGGGUUCUGAGAGGAAAGCCCCCCGCAUUGGAACUGAGACACGGUCCAAACUCCUACGGGAGGCAGCAGUGAGGAAUAUUGGUCAAUGGGCGAGAGCCUGAACCAGCCAAGUAGCGUGCAGGACGACGGCCCUAUGGGUUGUAAACUGCUUUUAUGCGGGGAUAAAGCGGGCGACGUGUCGCCCUUUGCAGGUACCGCAUGAAUAAGGACCGGCUAAUUCCGUGCCAGCAGCCGCGGUAAUACGGAAGGUCCGGGCGUUAUCCGGAUUUAUUGGGUUUAAAGGGAGCGCAGGCCGGGUAUUAAGCGUGUUGUGAAAUGUAGGCGCCCAACGUCUGCACCGCAGCGCGAACUGGUGCCCUUGAGUACGCACGACGUUGGCGGAAUUCGCCGUGUAGCGGUGAAAUGCUUAGAUAUGGCGAAGAACUCCGAUUGCGAAGGCAGCUGACGGGAGCGCUACUGUCGCUCAUGCUCGAAAGCGCGGGUAUCGAACAGGAUUAGAUACCCUGGUAGUCCGCGCGGUAAACGAUGGAUGCCCGCUAUUUGCGCAUUAGCGCAAGUGGCCAAGUGAAAACGUUAAGCAUCCCACCUGGGGAGUACGCCGGCAACGGUGCAACUCAAAUGAAUUGACGGA
This 924-nucleotide ribosomal RNA is filed under the name uncultured Bacteroidota bacterium. Its description in RNAcentral is "bacterial SSU rRNA". It matches the Rfam family "Bacterial small subunit ribosomal RNA", at positions 1 to 917 of the family's 1533-position model. Lineage: Bacteria; Pseudomonadati; Bacteroidota. The record is from RNAcentral.